AUCAUUACAAGCAAGCAACCGUAGACAGCAGGUGCUCCCUAAGGGAGCUUAAACAGGCCUGCCGAGGUUGGUAGUAGCCCUUAAAAACACUAAGGGAGGAGUGCCCCUGCUGUCGUGGCAGGGGCUUUCUAUUUUAUAAG
Regulatory RNA element from Thermanaeromonas toyohensis ToBE, 140 nucleotides. It matches the Rfam family "Ribosomal protein L10 leader". Rfam says of the family: This family is a putative r-protein leader autoregulatory structure found in B. subtilis and other low-GC Gram-positive bacteria. NCBI's taxonomy places the organism in Bacteria, Bacillati, Bacillota, Clostridia, Neomoorellales, Neomoorellaceae. The record is from Rfam.